Molecule: ribosomal RNA, 267 nt
Filed under: uncultured prokaryote
Description: partial 16S ribosomal RNA
Rfam family: Bacterial small subunit ribosomal RNA
Source: RNAcentral
UACGUAGGUGGCGAGCGUUGUCCGGAUUUACUGGGCGUAAAGGGAGCGUAGGCGGACUUUUAAGUGAGAUGUGAAAUACCCGGGCUCAACUUGGGUGAUGCAUUUCAAACUGGAGGUCUAGAGUGCAGGAGAGGAGAAUGGAAUUCCUAGUGUAGCGGUGAAAUGCGUAGAGAUUAGGAAGAACACCAGUGGCGAAGGCGAUUCUCUGGACUGUAACUGACGCUGAGGCUCGAAAAGCGUGGGGAGGCAAACAGGAUUAGAUACCCU